Suricata suricatta (meerkat) is the source of this 760-nucleotide long non-coding RNA. RefSeq lists it as uncharacterized. The transcript is spliced from 5 exons. NCBI's taxonomy places the organism in Eukaryota, Metazoa, Chordata, Mammalia, Carnivora, Herpestidae. The record is from RefSeq and is a predicted model, not a curated record.
CUGUCAGCCACCGGCUCUUCUGUGAACGUGGAUGAAAGCCUUGUUUCACUGUGCCUCCAGUCUCCACGCCUCCUUUGAUUGGAUAUCAAGGCGAAUGACCUACCGGCGUGGAGCAGGAUGGCAGCUGGACAUUGGAGGCUGAGGAGCUCACGCCGGACUUCACUUUCCGUGGUUCCUAUGACGAAUACGACAGGUGGUUUUCCACACACUUCCUGUGCCAACAACCUACCUCUACGGGGCGGGGCAUGCUGGGAGGUGGUCACGCCCAGCUUGCAGGACCCCUGCUGGGUGUGUAGGAGCCCUGGAGCCGGGAGCACCCGCUUACAUGGAGCAAGUAUCCUUGACUUGGUCCCGUUCCUGCAAUUUCCCCACACGACCCAGCAGCAUUCCGUCCUGGAUGUCUGGAAUUGCUAAGAGGCUUCUCAUUUUUUCACAUUCAUAAGGACAGAUCCCUUUCCAAGAAAGCAGGCCAGAGUUUGCCACGGAUGGCACGCAUUGAAGUCGUGGUGUGAGCAAAGUCCUGAGAAGUUACUGAGAGCCUGGGGGUAACUUCUGAUGAGUUACCCAGAACCCCGCUGUGUGUGGUCAUCAGCCCAAGCUCUCCUGUCAUUAACUCUGCUCUUUCCUCACUAGUUCCCUGCUUCGCAAGAGCUGCCCUAAAUCACCUAGCCCUGGCCCUGCAAUACCAAAAAUAUCCUUCCCUGACUUCCGCUAAGUCAACAUGAAUUUCAGGAAGUCUAAUAAACUUAGCUUUGCUUGA